This 458-nucleotide ribosomal RNA is filed under the name uncultured bacterium. RNAcentral describes it as "bacterial SSU rRNA". It matches the Rfam family "Bacterial small subunit ribosomal RNA", at positions 340 to 786 of the family's 1533-position model. The record is from RNAcentral.
UACGGAAGGCAGCAGUGGGGAAUAUUGCACAAUGGGCGAAAGCCUGAUGCAGCUAUGCCGCGUGUAUGAAGAAGGCCUUAGGGUUGUAAAGUACUUUCAUCGGGGAGGAAAAAACAAAACUAAUAAUUUUAUUUCUUGACGUUACCCGAAAAAGAAGCACCGGCUAACUCCGUGCCAGCAGCCGCGGUAAUACGGAGGGUGCUAGCGUUAAUCAGAAUUACUGGGCGUAAAGAGCACGUAGGUGGUUUUUUUAAGUCAGAUGUGAAAUCCCUGGGCUUAACCUAGGAACUGCAUUUUGAAACUGAAAUACUAGAGUAUCGUAGAGGGAGGUAGAAUUCUAGGUGUAGCGGUGAAAUGCGUAGAUAUCUGGAGGAAUACCGUGUGGCGAAAGCGGCCUCCUAAACGAAUACUGACACUGAGGUGCGAAAGCGUGGGGAGCGAAACAGGGAUUAGAUACC